This is a non-coding RNA of Nitzschia inconspicua, 126 nucleotides long. Lineage: Eukaryota; Bacillariophyta; Bacillariophyceae; Bacillariales; Bacillariaceae. The record is from the annotation of a GenBank genome assembly.
GAUCGGGAACUACCAACAUCACAGCACUGCUUCCCGUCCGCUCAGCGAAGUUAAGCAUGUUCGGGCCUGGUUAGUACGUUAGUACUACGGUGGGAGACCACGUUGGAAUCCCGGGUUUUGUUAUCU